CCUACGGGAGGCAGCAGUGAGGAAUAUUGGACAAUGGGCGCAAGCCUGAUCCAGCCAUGCCGCGUGCAGGAAGACGGUCCUAUGGAUUGUAAACUGCUUUUGUACAGGAAGAAACACUCCCUCGUGAGGGAGCUUGACGGUACUGUAAGGAUAAGGAUCGGCUAACUCCGUGCCAGCAGCCGCGGUAAUACGGAGGAUCCAAGCGUUAUCCGGAAUCAUUGGGUUUAAAGGGUCCGUAGGCGGUUUAAUAAGUCAGUGGUGAAAUCUGGUCGCUCAACGAUCAAACGGCCAUUGAUACUGUUAGACUUGAAUUAUUAGGAAGUAACUAGAAUAUGUAGUGUAGCGGUGAAAUGCUUAGAUAUUACAUGGAAUACCAAUUGCGAAGGCAGGUUACUACUAAUGGAUUGACGCUGAUGGACGAAAGCGUGGGGAGCGAACAGGAUUAGAUACCCUGGUAGUCCACGCCGUAAACGAUGGAUACUAGCUGUUGGGCGCAAGUUCAGUGGCUAAGCGAAAGUGAUAAGUAUCCCACCUGGGGAGUAACGUUGCAAGAAUGAAACUUCAAAUUGAAUUGAGGG
Molecule: ribosomal RNA, 578 nt
Filed under: uncultured bacterium
Lineage: Bacteria
Description: bacterial SSU rRNA
Rfam family: Bacterial small subunit ribosomal RNA
Source: RNAcentral